This is a long non-coding RNA of Oreochromis niloticus (Nile tilapia), 186 nucleotides long. RefSeq lists it as uncharacterized. The transcript has 3 exons. Lineage: Eukaryota; Metazoa; Chordata; Actinopteri; Cichliformes; Cichlidae. The record is from RefSeq and is a predicted model, not a curated record.
CCAAACCAGCAUUUCAUCUCCGAGGAAGUUAUCCCAGAGAGAAGUAAAGCAAACAUGCCUUUUAAGGACAUGAUGAGGAAACGGUGACAAAAGGAGCUGUGUGAGGCUGCUAAAGGCAGUGGAUCCCUCAUCAGCUGAAUUAGAGUACAGAUGGACAGCAAGUGGAGAGUGAUAGAUGAGAUGAGG